This is a non-coding RNA of Acanthosepion pharaonis, 109 nucleotides long. The record is from the annotation of a GenBank genome assembly. NCBI's taxonomy places the organism in Eukaryota, Metazoa, Mollusca, Cephalopoda, Sepiida, Sepiidae.
UUGCGACCAUGUCACGUUGAAACACCUGUUCUCAUACAAUCACCGAAGUUAAGCAACGUUUAACCUGGUCAGUACAUAGAUGGGUGACCGUUGGUGAAUACCAGUGGUG